RNAcentral lists this non-coding RNA (155 nucleotides) under Pseudorhodoplanes sp. Its description in RNAcentral is "6S RNA". It matches the Rfam family "6S / SsrS RNA". Rfam says of the family: E. coli 6S RNA was the first non coding RNA to be sequenced, but its function was unknown until recently. It consists of 184 nucleotides that fold into an extended hairpin structure with a large single-stranded internal bulge. The record is from RNAcentral. Lineage: Bacteria; Pseudomonadati; Pseudomonadota; Alphaproteobacteria; Hyphomicrobiales.
CCGGAGCUGCGUGGUGCGACGGCAUCAUACUCCCGGGGCCUUACGAUCCUGAAGGGAGCUGUCCCUGACCGGGCCCGUGGGCUCGGACAUAUGGCACCCACCUACUUCUGUAGGUUCCCGGGGUCGAAAACCGAAACGGCCAACGCGGCUCCGCU